GAAGGUAUAGCUCGGUGGUAGAAUUUGUGGUUAGCAUGCAUGAGGUCCUGGGUUCAAUUUCCAGUACCUGCA
Molecule: transfer RNA, 72 nt
Filed under: Camelus bactrianus (Bactrian camel)
Lineage: Eukaryota; Metazoa; Chordata; Mammalia; Artiodactyla; Camelidae
Also listed under: 2 other names
Rfam family: tRNA
About the family: Transfer RNA (tRNA) molecules are approximately 80 nucleotides in length. Their secondary structure includes four short double-helical elements and three loops (D, anti-codon, and T loops).
Source: Rfam by way of RNAcentral